This 440-nucleotide ribosomal RNA is filed under the name uncultured bacterium. RNAcentral's name for it is "partial 16S ribosomal RNA". It matches the Rfam family "Bacterial small subunit ribosomal RNA", at positions 338 to 795 of the family's 1533-position model. The record is from RNAcentral.
CCUACGGGGCGCUGCAGUGGGGAAUAUUGCACAAUGGGGGAAACCCUGAUGCAGCGACGCCGCGUGAGUGAAGAAGUAAUUCGUUAUGUAAAGCUCUAUCAGCAGGGAAGAAAAUGACGGUACCUGAGUAAGAAGCCCCGGCUAACUACGUGCCAGCAGCCGCGGUCAUACGUAGGGGGCAAGCGGUAUCCGGAUUUACUGGGUGUAAAGGGAGCGUAGACGGCAGUGCAAGUCUGGAGUGAAAGGCGGGGGCUCAACCCCCGGACUGCUCUGGAAACUGUACGGCUGGAGUGCAGGAGAGGUAAGUGGAAUUCGUGGUGUAGCGGUGAAAUGCGUAGAUAUUAGGAGGAACACCAGUGGCGAAGGCGGCUUACUGGACUGUAACUGACGUUGAGGCUCGAAAGCGUGGGGAGCAAACAGGAUUAGAUACCCCUGUAGUC